UACGGGGGGGGCAAGCGUUGUUCGGAAUUACUGGGCGUAAAGGGCUCGUAGGCGGCCAACUAAGUCAGACGUGAAAUCCCUCGGCUUAACCGGGGAACUGCAUCUGAUACUGGAUGGCUUGAGUUCGGGAGAGGGAUGCGGAAUUCCAGGUGUAGCGGUGAAAUGCGUAGAUAUCUGGAGGAACACCGGUGGCGAAGGCGGCAUCUUGGACCGACACUGACGCUGAGGAGCGAAAGCCAGGGGAGCAAACGGG
Molecule: ribosomal RNA, 253 nt
Filed under: uncultured bacterium
Lineage: Bacteria
Description: partial 16S ribosomal RNA
Rfam family: Bacterial small subunit ribosomal RNA
Source: RNAcentral